Molecule: ribosomal RNA, 824 nt
Filed under: Streptomyces cyaneofuscatus
Lineage: Bacteria; Bacillati; Actinomycetota; Actinomycetes; Kitasatosporales; Streptomycetaceae
Description: bacterial SSU rRNA
Rfam family: Bacterial small subunit ribosomal RNA
Source: RNAcentral
CGAUGAAGCCUUUCGGGGUGGAUUAGUGGCGAACGGGUGAGUAACACGUGGGCAAUCUGCCCUUCACUCUGGGACAAGCCCUGGAAACGGGGUCUAAUACCGGAUAACACUCUGUCCUGCAUGGGACGGGGUUAAAAGCUCCGGCGGUGAAGGAUGAGCCCGCGGCCUAUCAGCUUGUUGGUGGGGUAAUGGCCUACCAAGGCGACGACGGGUAGCCGGCCUGAGAGGGCGACCGGCCACACUGGGACUGAGACACGGCCCAGACUCCUACGGGAGGCAGCAGUGGGGAAUAUUGCACAAUGGGCGAAAGCCUGAUGCAGCGACGCCGCGUGAGGGAUGACGGCCUUCGGGUUGUAAACCUCUUUCAGCAGGGAAGAAGCGAAAGUGACGGUACCUGCAGAAGAAGCGCCGGCUAACUACGUGCCAGCAGCCGCGGUAAUACGUAGGGCGCAAGCGUUGUCCGGAAUUAUUGGGCGUAAAGAGCUCGUAGGCGGCUUGUCACGUCGGAUGUGAAAGCCCGGGGCUUAACCCCGGGUCUGCAUUCGAUACGGGCUAGCUAGAGUGUGGUAGGGGAGAUCGGAAUUCCUGGUGUAGCGGUGAAAUGCGCAGAUAUCAGGAGGAACACCGGUGGCGAAGGCGGAUCUCUGGGCCAUUACUGACGCUGAGGAGCGAAAGCGUGGGGAGCGAACAGGAUUAGAUACCCUGGUAGUCCACGCCGUAAACGUUGGGAACUAGGUGUUGGCGACAUUCCACGUCGUCGGUGCCGCAGCUAACGCAUUAAGUUCCCCGCCUGGGGGAGUACGGCCGCAAGGCUAAAACUCAAA